This 312-nucleotide long non-coding RNA is filed under the name Mytilus galloprovincialis (Mediterranean mussel). The record is from RNAcentral. Lineage: Eukaryota; Metazoa; Mollusca; Bivalvia; Mytilida; Mytilidae.
GUUGUGAGAUCUCAAACCUAUACCUCUAGCAUAUGUGGAAUAAACAAAUACACAGAUCUAUUUGCACAGUAAAACUUAUUUAAAGAAGGUAAAGUCCAAUGUUCAAAUGGGUAACAGAAGAAACUAAACAAAUGACAAUGAUAAACACCAAUUAUAAUAUGACGACCUAUUAUCGUCAACCAAGUAUAUUCAAAGUAUAUCUUCAUAAAGCACAAGCGCAUAAAUACAUGUGUCACUUAUUUAUCAUGUUUUAAAAUACUACAUGUAGCAGAUAAUCUAAAUUUUCAACAUCAAAACCCAGUUUACAUAGGC